This 3326-nucleotide long non-coding RNA is filed under the name Olea europaea subsp. europaea. Lineage: Eukaryota; Viridiplantae; Streptophyta; Magnoliopsida; Lamiales; Oleaceae. The record is from RNAcentral.
CUCGCAAAUAUAAGUGAAUGACGCGGUUCAUGGAAAAGCUUCGUCCGUUCCCAGACCUAACUAGAAAGGAUGAGAUAAGUAUAACAUCGACUACAUACUAGAAGCAUCUACAAUCCAAGUAACACAAGGUUUAUUAUAAUGACAGUUGCUUCUUCAGAAGCUAACAAACCGUAAUAGUCAGUUUCGAAGUGCACUAUAAUGUUCAAUGGUAGAAGCUCAAGAUUUAGUUUUUCAACCUUUAUCACACCACCAACUUAUGCAAGAGGACUUUGGGUUGUUCCUUUUGAAGCAUGAUGACGGAUCUAUAUAUCUGCAAGUCCACCAAUCACAUCAUAAUUUUGUAACAGCGACUAAAUCGUAUUGGCAUGUUCUGGUACAGUUUUCAGCAAUUAAUAUUUACUCUACUAAUUUCUAAUAGCCGCAAGAAAAUGUACAGUUCUCUAUUCUAGUUCAGAAGUGUUAAUAUUCCUCACUAGUGCUUCUUCACAAUCAACAUUUAGGCAGGGAUGAUUGCAUACAUCAAAUUAUAAAUGUCAAAAAUGCACCCCACUAAUAACUUUUUUACGUUUUAUUUUGAGUAUUCAGGUAAAUAUUUCAUGUUUAUCAUGUACAAGUUCAUUAUAUAAGUAUUCAGGUAGCACCAUAGCAGGAGAGUCAUAUAUGUGCUAUGUUCUUUUAGAUAAAUUACCAGACGUCAAUGAUUCCAAAUCCCUAUUUUACGACAUUUUUUUGCAUAUCAUCCUUUACUAGCUUCUGCAUCGCACAAGGCUACAAACAGUAUUCAAUAAAGAGAAAAAUAGGUCAUAAUAGUAUAGCAGAUGCGCAUAAUGGAAUUAUUUCUGUAGAAUAAGACGAAACAGUGCUAGCUGCACAAGUAUAAUAGCAUGAAAAAUAAUUAACAUCUUAUCAGCUUUUGACUCCAACAUCAAGAAAUUUCACUUACAGCAAAAGCUGCACUUAGAAAUCAAAAUCUUUGCAGGGUAAGCCGUGCUCUAGAUGUGAUGAAAAGUGUGUAAGUACAAAUAAGCAUAUCCAUCAACCAUAGUUCAAAUAUUAAAUAUAAGUUUCAACAAGCAAAUUAAGGUCAGAUAUAUACUCAAAAUUAGGAGAAUUUCCAUUGCCAUCUGAAGGUGCCUGAAAGGAUAUUCAAGCAUGAAAAUAGAUGCUAGCCUCUAUAGAGUAUAUUUUCUUUACUGCACAGGUUUGUUGCUCAUUAACAAUUACAGUUUACAGUGAGAAGUCCCCUCUAUUUCUCAUCAUUCGACUGCUUAUUCGGCCACCUGCCACGCUGUAACUGUUGCCUCAGGUGUUCUUUCACUACUUAAAUAAUUAUAGUCUAAAUGAUAUCAUUUUCUUCCCCAUAAGUAGUCAAGAAGCUGAAAGGAGGAGACAGCAGCCUCUUUCCAUUCCUAAAAUCAAGAAAUUACAAACCAAAGGAAAGACAUUCUUCUCAAUUAGCGAAAAGGGAUCUCCGUCACGGACAACACAAGUCUUGGCUCAUAAUAAACUGUCAAUACUACCUAUACGGGAAGCUAAAUCUUCUUCUCCAGAUUUCUCAAGGUAUUCGACUAUAUUUUGAAAAUAAGGAGGCUUAAGCUGAAUUCUUCUCUCAACCAUCAGAUUAGCAAGCUUUGCAGCUUCCACCAAAUGGCUUUUUUCACAAAGUCCAGCCAAUAUGAUCGAGUAAAUUUCAGAAUCAACAGCAGGAAAAUGUCCAGACUUUUCAAGUGAAUCAAACAAACCAAAUCCAUCUAGCACCCUUCCCUCCAAGACUAUAGCUUUUAUGAUGGUACUCAAAACCAAACCAUUAGGCUUCAUCCUACUAGCUAUCAUCAUCCUAAAAAUGUUUUCUGCCUCUUUAGUUUUGCCAAUUCGGUAUAGUGACACAACAAGCAAACCAUAGAACUUACCAUGCUGUUCACUACCUCUACUAACUCUAUCGAUAAUCUUACAAGCCUCCUCCAAACGCCCCUCUUUGCAUAGCCCAUCAAACAAAGCCGUAAUUGUCACCCUAUUAGGUUGAAGACCUGAAUCCUCCAUUCGGUCCAAGACCCCUAACGCUUCCAUCACUUUCCCUUUCUCAAGAAAACCCUUUAUCACUGCCGAAUAAGUUACAACAUUUGGCCUACAUUCCUCUUCUUCUUUUUCCAUCUUCCCUAGAAACUCCAAUGCCUUCUCCAAACUCUCAUGCUUACAAAUCCCAUCAAGAAGUGUCGAAUAAACAACUGUAUUCGGCACACACCCAUGCCCCUUCAUAGACUUAAUCAAUUGGCAUGCAUCUUCCAACCUCCCUACAUCACAAAACCCCUUAAUCAUCGAAACAUAAGUGAUCAUAUCAGGAUAAAGAUCAAUCAGACCCAUCUCUUUCAUCAACCCCAGUGCUUCAUCUAAUCUACCCUUUUCCACUACCAACCUAAUUACCACAUUGUAAGCCACAGUGUCAGGCCUACAAUUAAAUUCCUUCAUUUUCCUCAACACCCACAAGCCCAACUUAUCAUCUUUAGCUUCCCUACACAAAUUCAGAACAACCUUUAACAUCUUGACACUAACAACACUAUUUUCUGCCCGAUAGGCCGAUAUAGCAUCAACAACAAUGCUCGGAUUAUUCUUAAGUCUGAGCAAUUUAUAGGCUUUGCUAUACACGUAUGAGCUAUGCCUAUAGGUAGGAUGAAGUCCAGACCAAAUAAAAAAUCUGAGACCCAAUUGGGGUUCAUUAACAGCGCACCUUCUUAACACUUCAAUUAUGCAUGGAGCAUCCAGCUUUGCUUUCACAGAUUCAAGAACCUUUUCUGUGUUGGACCUAUUUUCCAGCAAAUUGGUCAAGAACUUUUCGGCUGACGGUGAAGAUGUGGUGAAAAGACAGAGUUUUGCGAACGAAAAAUCAAGGGGUUUGUGUGGGAUUGGUGAGAAAAGGUAACGAGACACGGAGGAGAGGAAUGACAUUGAUUUUUAUUACUUACUAGCAGCCAAAAAAGAUUAAAGCUUUAUGGGUGGAGUCGUGCUCUGCGAGGGAAUCGAUUGCGGCGUCGUCAAGGAAUUGGAGAAAGGGUGGAGUAGGAGCGGGGAACUGAGGGAAGUGGUGGUGAUGGUGGAUUUGAGGAUUCAGCGGCGCAUGGCGGUGGCCAGGAUCUUCGGGGGUGGAGGGGAUUUCUACGAUAAUUCUCCUUUGAAAUAAUUAUACCUUCGGUCUCCUAUCUAUUAAUUUAGUAACAAAUUGAUCCAAACUUUUUUAUUUAUGGUAGUAUUGCGCUUUGAUCCCCCAUUUAUUCAUUUAGUAGCAAACUGAUCUCAACUUUUUUAUUGAAUAAAGAAGCAUUGAAUGGGAG